AUGACAAUUUGCAAUAUCAGUAAAACAGUUUGGAGCAAAAUACUCUGACCUGUGCCUUGGCUGGUAAGCAGCAAAGAAAGAGGAAGUCAUGUGUCUGUCAGGGCUUUAUAUAUGGAUGUGAUGCCUGUUACUGAUUGGUUUAAAGUUUUUUUCUGAUUGACUUGUGCUCCUGAGGGCAUAAAGUAAAGAAAGUUAUGCAAAAUAUGAAGCC
Non-coding RNA from Pelobates cultripes (western spadefoot toad), 211 nucleotides. NCBI's taxonomy places the organism in Eukaryota, Metazoa, Chordata, Amphibia, Anura, Pelobatidae. The record is from the annotation of a GenBank genome assembly.